CAUGUUCAGAAUUCUACAGUGACAGUAAAGGAUCUGAUAACUCCCUGGCACAGUGGGGGUUUUCCUGGAAUCACACACAGAAAUGUGUCAGGGCUCUGAGAGGUGUCCACCCCUGAGCUGGACUGAUGCACUGCUCACACACACUGGGGUGUUCCGAGACACGAGUCCUUCCCUUGCACACACACAGGCAGUUCAUUGCAGCAGGGGCAGGGUCU
Lepidothrix coronata (blue-crowned manakin) is the source of this 215-nucleotide long non-coding RNA. RefSeq lists it as uncharacterized. The record is from RefSeq and is a predicted model, not a curated record. Lineage: Eukaryota; Metazoa; Chordata; Aves; Passeriformes; Pipridae. The transcript has 3 exons.